ACAGCCACAUCAUGUUGAAACACCUAUUCCUGUAUGAUCACUGAAGUUAAGCAACAUCAGGCUUUGUCAGUACCUAGAUGGAUGACCAUUUAGGAAUACCAGGUGCUGUA
Acanthosepion pharaonis is the source of this 110-nucleotide non-coding RNA. Lineage: Eukaryota; Metazoa; Mollusca; Cephalopoda; Sepiida; Sepiidae. The record is from the annotation of a GenBank genome assembly.